RNAcentral lists this transfer RNA (97 nucleotides) under Streptomyces parvus. RNAcentral's name for it is "tRNA-Sec". Lineage: Bacteria; Bacillati; Actinomycetota; Actinomycetes; Kitasatosporales; Streptomycetaceae. The record is from RNAcentral.
CCGGUCGUGGCAAGGGUGGUCAUGCGGUUCUCCUCAGCGGGGUGUGAUCGGGGACGGCGGCCCCGGUCGCGGGGGCUCGGAGCGCCCGCGACCGGAC